This 161-nucleotide non-coding RNA is filed under the name Clostridium niameyense. The record is from RNAcentral. Lineage: Bacteria; Bacillati; Bacillota; Clostridia; Eubacteriales; Clostridiaceae.
AAAAAUUUAGGUGCUUUUAUAAAGUGAAAAGGGAAUGCGGUUUAAAUCCGCAGCAGCCCCCGCUACUGUAAGUGAUAACAAACCUUUUAAAAACCACUCUUUUAUAAGAGGAAGGAAAAGGUACGGAUGAUUCAUAAGCCAGGAGACCUGCCUAAGUUUUA